RNAcentral lists this transfer RNA (71 nucleotides) under Calumma parsonii. Its description in RNAcentral is "tRNA-Ser specifying UCN codons". It matches the Rfam family "tRNA". From Rfam's summary of the family: Transfer RNA (tRNA) molecules are approximately 80 nucleotides in length. Their secondary structure includes four short double-helical elements and three loops (D, anti-codon, and T loops). Further hydrogen bonds mediate the characteristic L-shaped molecular structure. tRNAs have two regions of fundamental functional importance: the anti-codon, which is responsible for specific mRNA codon recognition, and the 3' end, to which the tRNAs corresponding amino acid is attached (by aminoacyl-tRNA synthetases). tRNAs cope with the degeneracy of the genetic code in two manners: having more than one tRNA (with a specific anti-codon) for a particular amino acid; and 'wobble' base-pairing, i.e. permitting non-standard base-pairing at the 3rd anti-codon position. Lineage: Eukaryota; Metazoa; Chordata; Lepidosauria; Squamata; Chamaeleonidae. The record is from RNAcentral.
GGAGAAGCAGAAUACAGGUUCUGCGUGUGGCUUGAAACCAUGAGGUGGGGGUUCGACUCCCCCCUUCCUUG